RNAcentral lists this ribosomal RNA (254 nucleotides) under uncultured bacterium. Its description in RNAcentral is "partial 16S ribosomal RNA". It matches the Rfam family "Bacterial small subunit ribosomal RNA", at positions 524 to 776 of the family's 1533-position model. The record is from RNAcentral.
UACGAAGGGGGCUAGCGUUGCUCGGAAUCACUGGGCGUAAAGCGCACGUAGGCGGAUUGUUAAGUCAGGGGUGAAAUCCUGGAGCUCAACUCCAGAACUGCCUUUGAUACUGGCGAUCUCGAGUCCGGGAGAGGUGAGUGGAACUCCGAGUGUAGAGGUGAAAUUCGUAGAUAUUCGGAAGAACACCAGUGGCGAAGGCGGCUCACCUGGCCCGGUACUGACGCUGAGGUGCGAAAGCGUGGGGAGCAAACAGG